CUACGUGCCAGCAGCCGCGGUAAUACGGAAGGUCCAGGCGUUAUCCGGAUUUAUUGGGUUUAAAGGGAGUGUAGGCGGUUUGUUAAGCGUGUUGUGAAAUUUAGGUGCUCAACAUUUAACUUGCAGCGCGAACUGUCAGACUUGAGUACACGCAACGUAUGCGGAAUUCAUGGUGUAGCGGUGAAAUGCUUAGAUAUCAUGAAGAACUCCGAUUGCGAAGGCAGCAUACGGGAGUGUAACUGACGCUUAAGCUCGAAGGUGCGGGUAUCGAACAGGAUUAGAUACCCUGGUAGUCCGCACAGUAAACGAUGGAUGCCCGCUGUUAGCGCCUGGCGUUAGCGGCUAAGCGAAAGCAUUAAGCAUCCCACCUGGGGAGUACGCCGGCAACGGUGAAACUCAAAGGAAUUGACGGGGGCCCGCACAAGCGGAGGAACAUGUGGUUUAAUUCGAUGAUACGCGAGGAACCUUACCCGGGCUUGAA
This 481-nucleotide ribosomal RNA is filed under the name uncultured bacterium. RNAcentral's name for it is "bacterial SSU rRNA". It matches the Rfam family "Bacterial small subunit ribosomal RNA", at positions 501 to 985 of the family's 1533-position model. The record is from RNAcentral.